CUAAACAGAAAGGUUCACUCCAAAGCACCAAAGCAUCGCUUUCUCUGCUUGCCUAUCAGGCCCCAGCUGGUGACACCUGCCCACUGGCCCUGUCUCACCUGACCAAGGAAAGACAGCUGCCAUGUUGUGAAGCCGCCCUGGGGAGAGGUCCACGUAGCAAGGAACUAAGGCUUGCCAGCAGCCACAUAAAUGAGUUUGGAAGCAGAUCUCUGAGGCCUGCCAACCACCAAGUGAGUGAACUUGGAAGCAGAUCUUUCCUCAUUCCAGCCUUGAAAUGACUGAAGCUCCAGCCAACAUCUUGAUUGUAACCUUGCGAAAGAUGUUGAACCAGAACCACCUUGCUGGGCAGCACCUAGAUUCCUUACCUG
RNAcentral lists this long non-coding RNA (368 nucleotides) under Equus caballus (horse). RNAcentral describes it as "lncRNA (ENSECAG00000060358.1)". Lineage: Eukaryota; Metazoa; Chordata; Mammalia; Perissodactyla; Equidae. The record is from RNAcentral.